This 488-nucleotide ribosomal RNA is filed under the name uncultured bacterium. RNAcentral's name for it is "bacterial SSU rRNA". It matches the Rfam family "Bacterial small subunit ribosomal RNA", at positions 501 to 987 of the family's 1533-position model. The record is from RNAcentral.
CUACGUGCCAGCAGCCGCGGUAAUACGGAGGGUGCGAGCGUUAAUCGGAAUAACUGGGCGUAAAGGGCACGCAGGCGGUGACUUAAGUGAGGUGUGAAAGCCCCGGGCUUAACCUGGGAAUUGCAUUUCAUACUGGGUCGCUAGAGUACUUUAGGGAGGGGUAGAAUUCCACGUGUAGCGGUGAAAUGCGUAGAGAUGUGGAGGAAUACCGAAGGCGAAGGCAGCCCCUUGGGAAUGUACUGACGCUCAUGUGCGAAAGCGUGGGGAGCAAACAGGAUUAGAUACCCUGGUAGUCCACGCUGUAAACGAUGGGUACUAGGUGUAGGAGGUAUCGACCCCUUCUGUGCCGGAGUUAACGCAAUAAGUACCCCGCCUGGGGAGUACGRYCGCAAGRUURAAACUCAAAGGAAUUGACGGGGGCCCGCACAAGCGGUGGAGUAUGUGGUUUAAUUCGACGCAACGCGAAGAACCUUACCAGGUCUUGACAU